Non-coding RNA from Zea mays, 140 nucleotides. The record is from Rfam. NCBI's taxonomy places the organism in Eukaryota, Viridiplantae, Streptophyta, Magnoliopsida, Poales, Poaceae.
CCCCUUCAUGAUGAUGAGGUGAUUGCGUAUUUACUUGCAGGUUUACCGACAGAUUAUGAUCCAUUUGUCAUGUCGCUGACCACCCGGUCAGACCACCUCACGUUGGAUGAUGUUUAUGCCCAUCUCAUGGCAUUUGAAGC